RNAcentral lists this ribosomal RNA (639 nucleotides) under Staphylococcus xylosus. RNAcentral describes it as "bacterial LSU rRNA". It matches the Rfam family "Bacterial large subunit ribosomal RNA", at positions 2287 to 2925 of the family's 2925-position model. The record is from RNAcentral. Lineage: Bacteria; Bacillati; Bacillota; Bacilli; Caryophanales; Staphylococcaceae.
CUCCUAAAGAGUAACGGAGGCGCUCAAAGGUUUCCUCAGAAUGGUUGGAAAUCAUUCAUAGAGUGUAAAGGCAUAAGGAAGCUUGACUGCGAGACUUACAAGUCGAGCAGGGUCGAAAGACGGACUUAGUGAUCCGGUGGUUCCGCAUGGAAGGGCCAUCGCUCAACGGAUAAAAGCUACCCCGGGGAUAACAGGCUUAUCUCCCCCAAGAGUUCACAUCGACGGGGAGGUUUGGCACCUCGAUGUCGGCUCAUCGCAUCCUGGGGCUGUAGUCGGUCCCAAGGGUUGGGCUGUUCGCCCAUUAAAGCGGUACGCGAGCUGGGUUCAGAACGUCGUGAGACAGUUCGGUCCCUAUCCGUCGUGGGCGUAGGAAAUUUGAGAGGAGCUGUCCUUAGUACGAGAGGACCGGGAUGGACAUACCUCUGGUGUACCAGUUGUCGUGCCAACGGCAUCGCUGGGUAGCUAUGUAUGGACGGGAUAAGUGCUGAAAGCAUCUAAGCAUGAAGCCCCCCUCAAGAUGAGAUUUCCCAACUUCGGUUAUAAGAUCCCUCAAAGAUGAUGAGGUUAAUAGGUUCGAGGUGGAAGCAUAGCGAUAUGUGGAGCUGACGAAUACUAAUCGAUCGAAGACUUAAUCAAAUU